RNAcentral lists this ribosomal RNA (490 nucleotides) under uncultured bacterium. RNAcentral describes it as "bacterial SSU rRNA". It matches the Rfam family "Bacterial small subunit ribosomal RNA", at positions 903 to 1397 of the family's 1533-position model. The record is from RNAcentral.
AAAUGAAUUGACGGGGACCCGCACAAGCGGUGGAUGAUGUGGUUUAAUUCGAUGCAACGCGAAAAACCUUACCCACCUUUGACAUGGUCGGAAUCCUGCAGAGACGCAGGAGUGCUCGCAAGAGAGCCGACACACAGGUGCUGCAUGGCUGUCGUCAGCUCGUGUCGUGAGAUGUUGGGUUAAGUCCCGCAACGAGCGCAACCCUUGCCAUCAGUUGCUACGAAAGGGCACUCUGAUGGGACUGCCGGUGACAAACCGGAGGAAGGUGGGGAUGACGUCAAGUCCUCAUGGCCCUUAUAGGUGGGGCUACACACGUCAUACAAUGGCUGGUACAAAGGGUUGCCAACCCGCGAGGGGGAGCCAAUCCCACAAAGCCAGUCGUAGUCCGGAUUGCAGGCUGCAACUCGCCUGCAUGAAGUCGGAAUCGCUAGUAAUCGUGGAUCAGCAUGUCACGGUGAAUACGUUCCCGGGUCUUGUACACACCGCCCGU